ACCUGUAGGUGACAGUCAGGGGCGGGGUGCGGUGGGGCUGGGGCUGGCCCCCUCCUCACACCUCUCCUGGCAUCACCCCCCAG
This 83-nucleotide microRNA precursor is filed under the name Pan troglodytes (chimpanzee). Its description in RNAcentral is "miRNA". The record is from RNAcentral. Lineage: Eukaryota; Metazoa; Chordata; Mammalia; Primates; Hominidae.